UCCAGGUUAUUUAUAGCGGAUGCUGGGAAGCCUCUUCUGCCCCAGCAGCCCCCAGGCAAACUCCCUCCAACCUACUUAGAGGGGGUUAAUGUCAUAUCUAGCCCUACACCUUUGCCUGGGUUGGAGCUACCCACUUGGGGCACGGAGGAAAUGUGAAAGCGAGGAGAGAGCCUCCAGUAGGCUGGGCGAGAAGCUGAGGCGCAGUGAGACCUAAUGCCUUGCCCCUGUGGGGGGGCCACCCUGGGACAGCCUGCUCUCCUGCCCCCUCUGCCUGCAGGGUGAGAUGAACUGAGGACACAUGUCCCGUCUUCCCGACCAGACUUCCUCCUCAUGAGGCAGCUGUCUGUCCUGUACUGCCAUCUGGUGGCUAUAGGAAGCCAUUGCUAUCUCACAGCUCCCCAUCUCUGCAGCCAGGAUCCCAAGACCCAGCUGAUGAUGGAAGAAGGAAGACUUGGCUGUCUCUGACUUCUGACAUAAGGUUCAGGGACCACGAGAACACAAUGGAAGAAGUUUGGAAAGCACUUGACUUUAGCAUAGUAGCAAAUGGAGGCUUCCCUUUUCUCUGUGCAAGGGGUCCUGGCUCAGCUCUUCUCCCCAUCACAGCCCUUUCCUGCACACCUGGUUGGAAGCUGUUCAGAACUGGAACAUGGGUUGGAGAAGACAUACAGGGUUCGUUGUAGCAAGGACAUGC
Non-coding RNA from Manis javanica (Malayan pangolin), 691 nucleotides. The record is from RefSeq and is a predicted model, not a curated record. NCBI's taxonomy places the organism in Eukaryota, Metazoa, Chordata, Mammalia, Pholidota, Manidae.